UACUUACUCCCUCCGUCCGGAAAUACUUGUCAUCAAAAUGGACAAAAAUGGAUGUAUCUAAAACUAAAAUACAUCUAGAUACAUCCUCUUUUAUUCAUUUUGAUGACAAGUAUUUCCGGACGGAGGGAGUAUUUC
Molecule: non-coding RNA, 135 nt
Organism: Triticum aestivum (bread wheat)
Lineage: Eukaryota; Viridiplantae; Streptophyta; Magnoliopsida; Poales; Poaceae
Source: Rfam